CCGGAAGAGCCGCACCUGUCAGGAAUCACUCAUCUUUUUCCGUCAGCUGCGAAGCAAUGUUGCCAAGAAAUUUGACAUUCCAACCCUGGACCUCAAAGAUUUUGAUGACUCCAAAACUGAAACUGAUGAGGAUGUGUUCGAGUUUCUUCUGAAGAAUCGAGGCCUUGGUGUGCUGGAGGUCUGUUUGCUGGAAAAGCCAAAUCCUGGUGAUUCAGUGGGCUCCUCUGCAAGUUGUUCCUUUGAAAGAUUAGGUGGAGACAAUGAAGGGGACUCUGAUCGCACCAUCGACCUGCAGCCGAGUUCUCCUCAAAGGCAGGCGAAUGAGAUCGUUUCUGUAGCUCAGCUGGUCCUGAAGGCGAUAGAGAGCCCUCUGUGGAGGAGAGCUGGCUAACCACAGACGCCCUGUGUUCAGAGGCCAAGAUUUCAGUUUGAUGCUUGUUGAUGCCGUCUCUGCAAGGUUCCUGGAGAAGUGGCCACAGUCUACAGGAGGAAAAAGCUUCAACAAAGCCGUGGCCUCACACAGACUGCAAGGGAAGCCAGUGACCUUGUGAAGUUCAUUAAGACUGGGACUAACAUCCAAGGGCAUCUGGACAGCAUCUGGAAAGCUGUCGACCCUAUCUUCUGGCAGUGGGAACCCAGAGAAGCGCAAUCUGAAAAUAUUUCAUCACCACUGACAAACACGCCAUAACCUGCAAGUCACUGGACUCUCUUGCCUGUUUUUUAUGAGCUUUUUUAAGCUCAUGUUGUUUUUGGUCCUUCGUACAACCACAAUCUGGCAAAUGUGUACAGCUUUUUGCAAACCACUAUGAAAUAGAAAUUUCCACCACCAAAGUGAGUCCGGAUGCAGCGCUGAGUUAGUACAAAGAUGUUGUGUUUUCUUUGCAAAUGUCACCAGGAAGAUGUUAAUUCCAUGAUCAAGCACUUUAAGUGAAAUCUAGAUGUAUGUGAUGGCUUUAUGGAACCUAUUCACACGGCAGCCGUUUUCUUCUGGCGUUACUGCAGAAUUUCAGCUCUUUAAAUAUGGCUUGAUGCCCUCUGGAUUUUCACUGUCCACUCCCUCUUCAGCUGCUGAUAGUUUGGCGUUACAUUUUGGGGGAGAAAUCAUUCCCCUGCCCUCCAUUUUCUUCUCUGAGUAUUCUUCUGCAUUUGUCGGUGUUUGUCAUUGAAAAGCUUUUUACCUUCUUGUUGAAAUAUGCAAUACAAGUGAAUUGUCCAAGUAGCAACAACUCCAAAUGACACAAGCCUCAGGAACAGAACGGUUUUUGUAAAAAUGCCGCCAUAUUGUUCAAAAAAUAUAAACCUUAGCGAAUAAUGUCAUUUUUUUGUGUUGCCUAGUAGGUAAUAAAUGUGAGUACAUUCUCCAAUUCAUAAUGACAACACUUUGUCACUCUUGUUGCACUGACUUAAUAUAUGUUUUUAUCAUUAAUCUUUGUUUUUAGAGAUGCCUCUGUCACGUCCCGCACAUCAGCGUCCUCUUAGGGGCGCUGGGUGGUUUCUUGUAUUGUUUUUCAGGUGGGUGGUGCUCGAGAGGCGUGAGACCAGGUCGUCAGCAGGAUGACUUUUAGCUGCUUUUGUCCCCGUCACUAUUUAAGUGGCGUCCUGGCUUGAAGUCAGCGCUGGAUCAUAACAUCUACUCUACUUCCUGCCUCUCCAGCCUGCCGGCCCCGGACUGACACUUAAACUCUGAUCCUGGAUUGCUUCCCCGAACCACAGCUUGGACCACCUCUGUCCUGUGAACCACCUGACCUGCUGCCCGUACUCACUGACUUGUGGACCUAUAAAUAAACUUAACACUUCCAGAUCCGCCUCCUC
This is a long non-coding RNA of Salarias fasciatus (jewelled blenny), 1812 nucleotides long. RefSeq lists it as uncharacterized. The record is from RefSeq and is a predicted model, not a curated record. Lineage: Eukaryota; Metazoa; Chordata; Actinopteri; Blenniiformes; Blenniidae. The transcript has 6 exons.